CUUUCUUGAAUUUAAUAAUUGAAUUUAUUUUUAUUUGUGAAGAAACAAUAAUUUAUAUUAAGGACAAGAAGACCCUAAGAAUUUUUGAAUUUAAAUAAGAAAGYUUUCUUAUUUAAAUUCUUAAUUGGGGCGAUUAAAAAAUAUUUUUAACUUUUUUUUUAAAAAAAAAUGACCCAUUAAUAAKGAUUUUUUGUAUUAAAUACUCUAGGGAUAACAGCGUAAUAAUUUUAGAUAGAUCUUAUAGAAAAAAUAGUUUGCGACC
RNAcentral lists this ribosomal RNA (262 nucleotides) under Haemaphysalis juxtakochi. Its description in RNAcentral is "partial 16S ribosomal RNA". Lineage: Eukaryota; Metazoa; Arthropoda; Arachnida; Ixodida; Ixodidae. The record is from RNAcentral.